RNAcentral lists this ribosomal RNA (215 nucleotides) under uncultured bacterium. Its description in RNAcentral is "partial 16S ribosomal RNA". It matches the Rfam family "Bacterial small subunit ribosomal RNA", at positions 524 to 736 of the family's 1533-position model. The record is from RNAcentral.
UACGUAGGGUGCAAGCGUUGUCCGGAAUUAUUGGGCGUAAAGAGCUCGUAGGCGGUCUGUCGCGUCUGCUGUGAAAACUCAGGGCUUAACCCUGAGCUUGCAGUGGGUACGGGCAGACUAGAGUGCGGUAGGGGAGACUGGAAUUCCUGGUGUAGCGGUGAAAUGCGCAGAUAUCAGGAGGAACACCGGUGGGCGGAAGGCGGGUCUCUGGGCCG